Molecule: ribosomal RNA, 514 nt
Filed under: uncultured bacterium
Lineage: Bacteria
Description: partial 16S ribosomal RNA
Rfam family: Bacterial small subunit ribosomal RNA
Source: RNAcentral
GAUGAACGCUGGCGGCGUGCCUAAUACAUGCAAGUCGAGCGAAUGGAUUAAGAGCUUGCUCUUAUGAAGUUAGCGGCGGACGGGUGAGUAACACGUGGGUAACCUGCCCAUAAGACUGGGAUAACUCCGGGAAACCGGGGCUAAUACCGGAUAACAUUUUGAACCGCAUGGUUCGAAAUUGAAAGGCGGCUUCGGCUGUCACUUAUGGAUGGACCCGCGUCGCAUUAGCUAGUUGGUGAGGUAACGGCUCACCAAGGCAACGAUGCGUAGCCGACCUGAGAGGGUGAUCGGCCACACUGGGACUGCGACACGGCCCAGACUCCUACGGGAGGCAGCAGUAGGGAAUCUUCCGCAAUGGACGAAAGUCUGACGGAGCAACGCCGCGUGAGUGAUGAAGGCUUUCGGGUCGUAAAACUCUGUUGUAAGGGAAGAACAAGUGCCGCAGGCAAUGGCGGCACCUUGACGGUACCUUGCGAGAAAGCCACGGCUAACUACGUGCCAGCCGCCGCCGUAA